Molecule: long non-coding RNA, 846 nt
Filed under: Ananas comosus (pineapple)
Lineage: Eukaryota; Viridiplantae; Streptophyta; Magnoliopsida; Poales; Bromeliaceae
Description: long non-coding RNA (ACOM_LNC017413)
Source: RNAcentral
GGAGGGUUUAGACUUUAGAGUGGGGUAUAUUUUUCGGGUGCGUCUGAUAUGCUUAUGGAAGCACGGAGCGUUCCGUGCUUCCACUUUGUUUUCGAUGUUCGGACUUUCGAAUCGACGAUCGGCUCCGUUAGACUUGAUCUAGAGUAUUUGAAGUAUUUAGAAAAAUAAAUUUUGCGAUUUUUCGAUAUCAUUUGCCUAGUGAUCGAAGUGGCUCAAAAUCAACGGCUGAAAAUAAAAAUCUUACGAAAUAUGAUGAUAUGACAUUAAAAUUUUAGAUCAAAGUUAUUGAUCUUAUUUUAUAUGGUAUAAAGAAUUUUCUAUCAAAAUUUCAUACGAUUUGGAUAUUUCUACACCGUUAAACUUGCAACCGGCUCACCACGGCCAUUAAAAUUAUUGAUUUUGAGCCCCUUCGAUCACUAGGCAAAUGAUAUCGAAAAAUCACAAAAUUUAUUUUCUAGGUACUUCAAAUACUCUAGAUCAACUCUAACGGAGCCGAUCGUCGAUUCGAAAGCCCGAACAUCGAAAACAAAGUGGAAGCACGAAGGGCUCCGUGCUUCCAUAAACAUACCGGCUUACUUAUAUUUUUCUAUAUUUUUUGUUCCCACUUACUAUUCCAUUCAGAGCGGAUCGGGGCAAGAGGUCCACCAACUCGGAUCCAUUUGUAUUUCUAUCGUAUACGUGCUUAUAUUUUACACUUUUGCAUCUGGAGAUUUAUAAAACUCUCUUAAAAUUUUUAGGAAAAAAAUUUUAAUAAGACUAACAAAAAGUUUCUUACCAUAAAAAGCCGACGGCAUAAAUUUUGCACGAAUAUUAUAGAUAUACAGGUAGCAUUGCUUCUUUUAUAUA